CGCGUACGAGUGAGCGGCAAAGCUCAUUUGAAUCUGGUACCUUCGGCUGUCCCGAGUUGUAAUUUGGAGAGGGCAACUUUGGGGCCGUUCCUUGUCUAUGUUCCUUGGAACAGGACGUCAUAGAGGGUGAGAAUCCCGUGUGGCGAGGAGUGCGGUUCUUUGUAAAGUGCCUUCGAAGAGUCGAGUUGUUUG
This 192-nucleotide ribosomal RNA is filed under the name uncultured Saccharomyces. RNAcentral's name for it is "partial 26S ribosomal RNA". It matches the Rfam family "Eukaryotic large subunit ribosomal RNA", at positions 104 to 276 of the family's 3401-position model. The record is from RNAcentral. Lineage: Eukaryota; Fungi; Ascomycota; Saccharomycetes; Saccharomycetales; Saccharomycetaceae.